UACGUGGGGUGCGAGCGUUGUUCGGAAUUACUGGGCGUAAAGCGUGUGUAGGCGGCUUUGCAAGUCGGGUGUGAAAUCCCUCAGCUUAACUGAGGAAGUGCGCCCGAAACUGCCGAGCUUGAGUACCGGAGAGGGUGGCGGAAUUCCCCAAGUAGAGGUGAAAUUCGUAGAUAUGGGGAGGAACACCGGUGGCGAAGGCAGCUCACUGGGACGGUAUUGACGCUGAGACGCGAAAGCGUGGGGAGCAAACAGG
Molecule: ribosomal RNA, 253 nt
Filed under: uncultured bacterium
Lineage: Bacteria
Description: partial 16S ribosomal RNA
Rfam family: Bacterial small subunit ribosomal RNA
Source: RNAcentral